This 738-nucleotide ribosomal RNA is filed under the name uncultured Bacillus sp. RNAcentral's name for it is "SSU rRNA". It matches the Rfam family "Bacterial small subunit ribosomal RNA", at positions 554 to 1290 of the family's 1533-position model. Lineage: Bacteria; Bacillati; Bacillota; Bacilli; Caryophanales; Bacillaceae. The record is from RNAcentral.
UUGGGCGUAAGCGCGCGCAGGUGGUUCCUUAAGUCUGAUGUGAAAGCCCACGGCUCAACCGUGGAGGGUCAUUGGAAACUGGGGAACUUGAGUGCAGAAGAGGAAAGUGGAAUUCCACGUGUAGCGGUGAAAUGCGUAGAGAUGUGGAGGAACACCAGUGGCGAAGGCGACUUUCUGGUCUGUAACUGACACUGAGGCGCGAAAGCGUGGGGAGCGAACAGGAUUAGAUACCCUGGUAGUCCACGCCGUAAACGAAGAGUGCUAAGUGUUAGAGGGUCUCCGCCCUUUAGUGCUGCAGCUAACGCAUUAAGCACCCCGCCUGGGGAGUACGGCCGCAAGGCUGAAACUCAAAGGAAUUGACGGGGGCCCGCACAAGCUGUGGAGCAUGUGGUUUAAUUCGAAGCAACGCGAAGAACCUUACCAGGUCUUGACAUCCUCUGACAACCCUAGAGAUAGGGCCUUCCCUUUCGGGGGACAGAGUGACAGGUGGUGCAUGGUUGUCGUCAGCUCGUGUCGUGAGAUGUUGGGUUAAGUCCCGCAACGAGCGCAACCCUUGAUCUUAGUUGCCAGCAUUCAGUUGGGCACUCUAAGGUGACUGCCGGUGACAAACCGGAGGAAGGUGGGGAUGACGUCAAAUCAUCAUGCCCCUUAUGACCUGGGCUACACACGUGCUACAAUGGAUGGUACAAAGAGCCCGCAAACCCGCGAGGGCAAGCUAAUCUCAUAAAGCCAUUCUCA